Molecule: transfer RNA, 84 nt
Filed under: Candidatus Iainarchaeum sp.
Lineage: Archaea; Nanobdellati; Candidatus Iainarchaeota; Candidatus Iainarchaeia; Candidatus Iainarchaeales; Candidatus Iainarchaeaceae
Description: tRNA-Leu
Rfam family: tRNA
About the family: Transfer RNA (tRNA) molecules are approximately 80 nucleotides in length. Their secondary structure includes four short double-helical elements and three loops (D, anti-codon, and T loops).
Source: RNAcentral
GCAGGGAUUGGGGAGCGGUCAAACCCGAAGGACUCAAGAUCCUUUCGCUUAGUGCGUUCGGCGGUUCGAUUCCGCCUCCCUGCA